GGGCUCAAGUCGGCAGCACAUAUUCUAAAUUUGGAACCAUACAGAGCAGGAUUAGUGUGGCCCCUACACAAGGAUGACACACAAAUUCAUGAAGCAUUCCAUAUUAAA
Molecule: small nuclear RNA, 108 nt
Filed under: Marmota marmota marmota (Alpine marmot)
Lineage: Eukaryota; Metazoa; Chordata; Mammalia; Rodentia; Sciuridae
Source: RNAcentral